Molecule: long non-coding RNA, 18547 nt
Filed under: Vitis vinifera (wine grape)
Lineage: Eukaryota; Viridiplantae; Streptophyta; Magnoliopsida; Vitales; Vitaceae
Description: long non-coding RNA (VVIN_LNC000754)
Source: RNAcentral
GCAAAUAUAUUAAAGGGCAAAGGCCAUCAAGCAUACAGGACGUAUACAAAUCUGCCUCAAAACGAGAGCACAAAAACAAAGACCCUUACCCUCCCUUAAGUGGUCGCUAGCCACUCAAAAAAACCUAAGAGUGAAGAGGACUCCUCUCCAAUAUACACCCUAGCCCAACUCCACAAGGUACAAACAAAAGAAUUUUUGAGUUUCUGUAUAUUUAACACCCCUCCCUUGAACGCUAACCUAUUUCUUUCCUUCCAUACCGUCCAAAAAAUACACAACGGGAUAGAAUUCCAAAUUUUUUUCCUUUUUUUCCCCACAAAGGGGCCCCUCCAACUGAAUAAAGCCUCCUUCACCAGCUCUGGGAACACCCAAUGAACCCCCACAAGGGCAAAAACGAUAUCCCAUAAGGCCCUUACAACCGUACAAUGAAGAAGAAUGUGAUUUACACUCUCCUCUUCACAAACACACAAAAAACAACGGUUCGGGAACUGCCAGCCCCGUUUUUGAAGCUUAUCCAAGGUAAGAAUUUUCCCCCACGCAGCUUCCCAAGCAAAAAAAACCACUUUGGUAGGGACCUUGUUCACCCAAACUCCUCUAUGCGGAAAGUCGCAAGCAUUGAUAACAACCAGCCCAUUAUAGGCCUGCUUCACCCCAUACUUCCCCUGGCCCCCUCCUUUCCAAAGCACCCCGUCCUCCUCUAAAGAGAGCUUGACGUCCCUGAGCCUAAUAAGCAAUCCUCUAAUCAAAUCCAGCUCCCAAUCAUUGAAGUCUCUAUGAAAUCUGAGAUUCCAGCCACUUGGACCACUUCUAUGGUCCCACAUCUCAUUAACCGUUGCAUUCUUGUUGACCGCCAUCUCAUAAAGCAAGGGAAAAGCAAGGGACAGCCUCUCAUCCCCACACCAUUGAUCCAACCAGAAUUUUAUUCUAGUCCCUUUCCCUACCUUGAACUUGAUAUUCUCCCAACACCAAUUAGCUUCCUUCAUGAUUUCCUUCCAUGCCCCUACUCCGUAUGCUCCCCGGCCUUCUUUAGUUUUCCACCCAAACUCUUCCUGACCAUACUUCACCCCAAUCAUUACCCUCCAAAGAUUAUCUUUUUCCACAGCAAAUCUCCAAACCCAUUUACCCAACAGCGCUUUGUUUAAGGAUUCAAUCCUCCUCAUGCCAAGGCCACCCUUUUCCUUGCUAGUACACACCACCUCCCACUUAAUUAAGUGCACCUUCCUCUCCAAGCUGCCCCCUCCCCAAAGAAAGUCUCUUUGUAUUUUUUCAAGUCUUUUUACAACACUCUUCGGCAUUCGAAAGAGGGACAUAAUGUAUAUGGAAAGGCUGGCCAUUGUACACUUGAUUAAGGUGAGACGCCCUCCCUUUGAAAUAUACUGUCUUUUCCAUUGGGCUAAUCUCUUCCUCAUUCUCUCUUCCACCCCAUCCCAAAUGGAAACAGCUUUGUGGUGAGCACCAAGGGGCAGCCCCAAGUACACAGUGGGCAGCAUUCCUAUUUUACAGCCAAGUUCCACAGCCAGCUCCUCAAUAUUCUCCACCUCACCCACCGGAAUGAGGACACUUUUAUCAAGAUUGAUUCUAAGGCCGGAAGCCGCCUCAAACCAAGCCAACACCCAGCUUAGAGCGGACACUUGCUCAUUAUUAGCUUCACAAAAGAUGAUUGUGUCAUCCGCAAAGAGUAGGUGGGACACUAUCAUCUCCUCUUCCCCUCUCCCCUUAAUGUUGCAGCCUGAUAAGAAGCCCCCAUCAACCGCUCUUCUAAUUAGAAUACUAAGAACUUCCAUCCCCAACACAAAGAGAUACGGGGAGAUGGGAUCUCCUUGUCUUAGCCCCUUAGAAUUCGAGAAAAAACCAGCUGGUACCCCAUUGAUCAUGACUGAAAAUUUGGCGGUAGAGAUGCACCACCACAUCCACUCCAACCACCGCGACCCAAAACCCAUUUUGACCAGCACUUUCAUGAGAAAUCUCCAAUUAAUGCUGUCAUAGGCUUUCUCAAUGUCCAAUUUACAAAUCAGCCCAUUCUCUUUUCUCUUGUUCCAGAAAUCAAUCACCUCAUUGGCAAUAAGAGACGCGUCCAGGAUCUGUUUGCCUCUCACAAAGGCGUUUUGAUCCCCUGACACCACCUUAUCAAGCACUUUCUUUAGCCUAUUCGCCAACACCUUAGCCAAUAGCUUGUACAAACUUCCUAACAGGCUGAUUGGCCGGAAAUCACCCAAGUCUUCAGCCCCUCCUUUCUUAGGAAUGAGGACUAAAAAGGUGGAGUUAAGGCUGUUAGCAAACGAACGUUGGUUAUAGAAUUCCCUAAACAGAUCCAUAAUCUCCUCCUUCACUAACCCCCAACUUGAUUGCCAAAACGCAAUUGUGAACCCAUCCGGACCCGGCGCUUUAUCCCCAUUCAUACCCAUUAAGGCUGCGUAGAUUUCCUCUUCAGAAAAUUGCACCUCCAAUGUUUCAGCUUCACUGGGACUUAGACAUUUAAAGUGCAGUCCCUCCACAUCUGCCCUCCAGCCUGGCUCUUCAGAGAGCACCUGCUGAAAGGCGCUCACUAUUCCUUCCCUCAUCUCCUUCUCCUCAGUCAACCAAACCCCAUUAAUUUUCAUUCUCUCCAGAGAAUUAUUCCUUCUAUGCGCAUUAGCCAUUCUAUGGAAGAAUCCAGUGUUUCUAUCUCCCUCCUUAAGCCACAAUUCCUUGGACAAUUGUCUCCAGUGGGUCUCCUCCAAUAAAACCCAUUUUUUAAAGGACUCCUUGGCUUCCUUUUUCAGUUCAGUUUCACCUUCAGACAAGCUCCUUUCCCUUUCCACCCCGUCCCAAAACUCCACUUGUUGACCUCAUUAAACCAUUUCAUACAAGAAUCUAGGAAUACUUAAAGAAAGUCCAACUGGGUAAAUCUUAAACUAAAGGCCCCUAGUGUAAAGUAUAAGAAAACCAAAGAAUUAAAUACAGUGAAUUAAAUCAAACCUAUUAGCUUGGUUACAAGGCUAUAUAAGAUUAUAGCAAAGGUUUUAUCAAGGCAUUUACACAGAGUUCUCCAUGAAACAAUUGAUAUUUCCCAAGGAGCCUUUGUUGAAAGGUGACAAAUUCUGGAUGCUGUUUUGAUAGCUAAUGAAGUGGUGGAUGAAAAAAGGAGGUCGGAGGAGGAAGGGGUAGCCUUCAAAAUUAAUUUCGAAAAGGUCUACAACCAUGUGGAUUCGGGUUUCUUGGACCAUGUGCUAGAAAGGAAAGGUUUCAGGUCAAAGUGGAAAUCCUAGAUGAGGGGCUACUAGUCUUCAACAAGUUUUGUAAUCCUAGUUAAUGGAAAUGCCAAAGGAUGGGUUAAGGGCACUAAAGGGUUAAGACAAGGAGACCCUCUUUCUCAUUUCCUUUUUACCAUAGUAGUGGAUGUCCUAAUUAGGAUGAUGAUCAAAGCAAAGGAAAGUAGUUUACUGAGGGCUUCAUAGUGGGUAAGGAUAGGACUAGAGCAUCUCUGUUACAAUUUGCAAAUGACACCAUUUUCUUCUCUAUCCCUUCUCUUUAUCUUCUUUUUCUAUAUUUUUAUUUUAUUUUAUUUCACUAUCAUAAACUUUAUCCUUUGUUCAUCUCCUUAAACCCUAAAAGAUAAAAACCCUAACCCACCUAUUUGAUUGUAGGCAACCAUAGGGUUACCCUACAACACUUUUGGUAUAAAAGUCGAAAAGUUCUUGGCUUGAAGGCGUAUGCAAUUGAGAAGUGUAGCAACUUAUGCAAGCAUGAGUUCAAAAAUAACUUCUAACAAUCAUGAUGUUGCUACAACACAUUCAAGAGGAAAUUUUUGCUACACUACAGUUCCAUCAUGAUGCUAUAAUGCAACUAAAUAGCAACCUUGAUGAAAUCACGAAAGUUAUUAAAAAAGAUUCAAGAAAAACAAUCAAUUGAAGAUGAGACUACAAGCCAUCAAUUUAAACAAUCGCCCUAUAGACCACAUGAAGAACAAAGCAAUUUUAUAAUGAGAAAUCAAAGAAAAGGCAAAAUCUUUUAGCAAGAUGACAAUGUGACAAAAAGGGUAUGCCUUGCAAAGGGAGGUUAUGUACCAUGAUCAUUGAUGGAGGUAGUAGCUUAAAAAUAGUUUCCCAAGAGUUUUGUUGAGAAACUAAACCUUCAAACAAAGAAAUAUCUAAAUCCAUCUCAAGUAGCAUGGGUUAACGAUACCUCCAUUCCAGUAAGUUUUUUAUGCUAGAUCAAAUUCUUUUUUGGUAAGGACUUCAAAUAGUUUAUAUGGCGUGAGGUCUUACCAAUAAAAGCUAGUCAUAUUUUGUUUGGAAGACCUUGGCUUUUUUAUAGAAGGGUUCAACAUGAUGACUAUGAAAAUACACACCCCCAUACACAAUAGGCAUGAGAAGAUCCUUCAUCUAUGAAAGAAGUUCCACCAAUUAACAAGUUGAAGGAGACACAACCAAAAAAGGUGCGCAUUAUGCGCCAUGUACAAGAUAUACGUGGAAAGGUACGAGAAAAAAUCAAAAUCAGCAAUAAGAACUAUAAAGAGGCAUCAAAUACACAUCAAUGAUACAUUCUGUUUCAAGAAGGUAAUCUAGUAAUGGUUCAUUUACAUCUAGAAAGAUUUCAACCAAAACACAUAUCAAAAACUUUAAGCUAAGAAAGCGAGUUCAUUUCGGAUGCUAAAGUGAUUGGAUGAGAAUGCUUAUUUGCUAGAGUUUCCCUAAAAAUAAUUACAUUUCAGUCCAAGAUUUAAUGUGGAAGAUUCGUUUGGCUACCAUGGUCAUCAAAGAGAGGUAAGACAAGAAUUGGAUCUUCAAUUGCCACCUAAUCUUAGCUCAUGUUCUGAGAUCAAGUAUGUUCUUGAAGAUCAACUUGUGUCUAGUCAACAAGGCGGAUACCAAAAAUUUUUGGUGAAAUGACAAUGCAAACCACCACUGAAAAAACAUGGAUUACAACAACAGAUUUUUAAGAGUUUAACCAUGAUCUCUAUGAUAUGUAUCAAGCAUGUAAGUCACUGAAGUCAAGUUAUUUCAAGCCAAGAGGAAUUAAUGGGAGAAAGCCUUCUAAAGUAUAUUCAAGAAAAUGAAGGAAAGGCAUAAAUAAACUCAAGUAGGAUUAGUAUUAGUUAGAGAGUUAAAUUAGGAUUAAUAUUGUUGGAGACAAAUUAGUAGUAGCUAUUAUAGGAAAAUUAUAAUUAGAGUUAUAAUAGGUUAUUAAAAUUUUAGUAGAAGUUGGAUUUAUUAGAGAAGCCCAUAAAUAAGAUUAAUUGAUGCAAACCAAAAUAUUGAUGAUUAAGAAUAUAAUGUUUUCUUGCAUACCUUGCAAUUCCCAACAGUGAGAUACCAUUGAUUUUCUACUAGGUGAGACUCCUAAAGGGUUUUAGUGCAACUCUAAGGUCUCUUAUCUCUUUUUAUCCUUAUCUUCUUUCUCUAUAUUUUUAUUUUAUUUCAUUUCAUUGCCAUAAACUUUAUCCUUUGUUCCUUUUCUUAAACCCUAAAAGAUAAAAAUCCUAAGUCCAUCAAUUUGAUUGUAGGCAACCAUCCUAAAGUUGUGUACAUCACAAUAGAUGGCGGAUUUGCUCAUGAUUUUUAAGAUGAGGCAAGUAUCAUUACGAGUAAAGAUUUCACAUUUGUUAUUUGUUGGUUAUACCUUAUAGUUCCAUGACACAUAGUAUAACCAUUUAAAGAAAAGUGAAUUAUUCCCAAUAGGGGGGUUUGCUAAUAGGGAGGAACUAGCCUUGGAGUUGGGGCAUGGUGGGGACCUUCAAUAUACUUAUUUAGGUCUAUGCUCUUCAAAGAGCGUAGAAGAGGAGUCCUGCCAAAGGUUAUUGAUGUGAAGAUGAUAUAUUUCAAAAGGGGGAAGGCUUACUCAAAUUUGAAGCACCUUUUCUUUGCACACUCAAAUGAUUGAGAGUUGGACAUUGUAGAGACUUUUUUCUCAAGGUUACAAAGAAGAUCCAUGAAGAGGAAAGAGAAAGAUAAGAUGGUGCGAAUGGACGUAAGGAACAAUUUUUUUUUUUUUUACCAGGGUGCUAAAUUCCUUUUCUAAUGUGCAUCAUUAGGAAUUCUUGGUCCAUCUAAAGUAACUUUUUUUUGCUUGGAAAGCUAGUUAAGCAAAGGUGUUGACUUUAAACCGGAUUCAAAGGAGAGGGUGGUCAUUAGCAAACAAAUAUUACCAUUGUAAAAGCAAAGUGGAAUCAAUUGAUCACAUUCUUCUCCAUUGUACCAAAGCAAGAGUGUUAUAACAGCCUGCUUCUCUAUGUUUAAUGUAGUUUAGGUUCUUCUUUCUACGGUUAGGAAGACUCUUUUAAGUUAGCUCGACUCUUUUGUAAAAAAAGAAUGCACAAAGGUUUGGAAAGUCUCUCCUUUGUCCCUUUUGUGGAUAAUUUGAAAGAGAGUGAAUCAAAAAGCAUUUGAAAAUGAGUAGUAAUCGGUUUAAUCACUAGAUUGUUAUUUCCUUAGAAGUCCGACAUUAUGGGUUAUGAUGUACAUAGUACAAGGGACAAUGCCUUUAAUUGAUUAUGUAGGUUAGGUGGGAUCUAACCAAGGGCAAAAGUAGUUUUUUUUGUGUUUUCUCUCUUUCAGGUUAUGCUUUUCAUUACCCAUUGCACAUGUACCAUGGUGUAUGGUUUUUGUAACACUAUCAAUCGAUUUUUUUUUCUUACUAAUGAAAAAAAAAUUAUUGUACCAAAGUGGAUUUUUCUUCAUCAAAAUGCGGUUUAAUCUAAAAAAUAAUAUGGACAAAUGCACACUCAUCCUAGUAGGAAAUGUGGUAGAUAAACAUUUUGGUGACUUUGAUUCAUUAUAGAGCAAAUAAGUAGUCAUUUUUUUGUAUUUUUAAGAAAGGGUAAACUUAUUUCAAAUUGAUGUAGUUCGCAUAAUUAAAUGAGUCAGGUAUUCUCAUGUUGUAUGUACACAUAGUUUAUAGUCUUGUGGUUUUCCACUUUCAAAGUUCCAUAGGUUUUGCUUUGCUUGGUUAAGGAUAAUUCGACUAGUUGGCAUCAUAAUUCCAUUGGCAAGAAAAGAAAAUGCAUACGGAGAUCUUUUUUCUUUUUUUUUGAUAGACAAAGAAAGAUAGUAUAUACAAAUAGCAAAAGAAAAGGUAUACCAAAGUACACAAGACGUAAACAUCAAUCCCCCAGAGGUAAGACCUCAAAAGAAAAGCCACAAAAACCACCCUCCCUGUCAACAAGAACCCAACUAAUCUACAAAAUCAACCAAAGGCAUUGAAUCAUUUCUUAUAUACAUGCCAACCCAAGCUGAAACGUUACAAAGGUUUCAACUUUUGGUAUAUGGAGAAUAGUUCUUUGUGUUUAUUCUAGCGUUUCCAAGGAACACAACAAAUCAAGAGCUUUCAAGUCUAUAACAUUUAGAGUUGAUUUUGAAAGAUUAUCUCCUAAAUCUCUAUCAGUAUGGUCAAUGAAUUCAUUGGAGAUUGGAAAUUUGUCCUCUUUAAACUUUAUCGAUAACUUGCCACUAGUUUAAGACCCUUUUAGUACUUAUAGUUCUCUACUUCUUUUUUUUUUCUUUUUUUCUUUUUUUCUUUUUUGGGUUUAUCACACUUUACCCCCCUAACCUAACUGUUUUGCAUAUUUAAAAUCGAGCAAUGUAUCCUUCAUACUUUAUAAUUACAUGCAAUGUACAUUUUUGGAGUGACGGUGUUAUAUUUUUUUACGGAAGGCGCAUGUGCUCUCCACCUGACCUAUUUAAGUGAGGGCAAAAGGGUAAUUUUGCAACCAAAAAUAAUAAAACCCCUCUAGCCCAUCUCUCCUCUGUCAUUCAUUCCUUUUGUUGAAUCAAAUCCUAUAAUGACCACAACUUCUUUGUCUUUACAAAUCAAAUCCUGUAAUAACAACCACAACAUCUUUGUCUUUACAAAUCAAAUCUUGUAACAAUAACCACGUAUCAAUUAAUGGUUUAGUGGACAGGGCAAGCAAGAAGAUAGAAAAGGUUCCCUUAAUUGUUUGAUAGAAAAUACUUUCUCGGAAAACCUUUCACAAUCCAGAAACCUAGACCCUUAACCGAAAAAAAAAAAAAAAACCUUGGAAUGUAUCUCCAAAAACAUUUUCUAUCAAAACAAGCACAAAUCCAAAUGAAACCGAGAAAAAUCAAAAUUGUAAGAGACUACGGAAGUAAUGAAUGAAAAACAAAGAUGUCCAAUAGAAACAAAGACAUAAUUAAAACGAACACCAAUCAUUAAGCAAAAAAAAAAAAAAAAUCACUUGAUGCAUAAAAAAUCAAUUGAAAACUAUGUAGAUCUACAAAGAAAUAAAUUAAUAUCAACAAACCAAAUUUCCCCCAAAUUUAAAAGGAAAAAAAAAAUUAAAAAUGUCAUAACAAACUGCAGAUAAGUUUCCCCAAAUUUCCCUCAAAUUUUCCCUAAAUUUUCUGAAACAUCAAAUAAAACUCCAUUAUGAAACAACAAACUAAAACAUUACAUCGAAUUUUCAUCUCUCUUCUUCGUUGAGUUUUAAAAAAAUAUUUCUCCAAAUUUUUUGAAACAUCAAAACAAAACCCUAACCCUCUUUGUCGAAAUUUUUAUAGCUACUAAAGAAAUUGCAAGACAAAAAACAUAUCGUGGAACUCCAUGUCUUCUCUUCGAUGUCUGCUCUUCCAUAUCUACAUUAGCUUCCUUGGAUUUUAAGGCUUUAACAGCAAUUUGGGGAUUCAGCAAGAGGAACGACAAGAUGAGAGGAACGAACAACAAGGAAAGGAGGGUUGGAGGGGUUUUGUUUUGGUUGCAAAAUUACCCUUUUGUCCUCGCUUAAACAAGUCAGGUGGAAAGCACAUGCACCUUAUGUCAAAAAAUUUAUCACUAUCACUCCAAAAAUGUACAUUGUAUGUAAUUAUAAAGUAUGAAGGGUACAUUGCUCGAUUUUAAAUUUGAUGGGGCAAUGUGCAAAACACGCUAUGGGUUAUGGGGGUAAAGUGUAAUAAACUUUUUUUUUUUUUUUGUUGAAUGUUGCAAUCAAUCCCCAUUUGCUAAAUAUUCAUACACAUAUACAAAUACACACAUUCCCACCAGCAACACUUAGCAUUUGUUCCUUAAGUUUGCUAGAACAAUUAAACAAGUUCCAUGACUAAGAACCAUAGUUAAACCAGCUAAAGAAUCUCCACUUGCUUUUCCUUGUACAACAGUAUGUACCUUUCAUAAGUUUAUAUCCACUAGCAUCAAUUGCUCCUGUAAAAUAUAGGCAACGGUCGUGGACUUCCAUCUAUACAACUAAAAGAUCCAUAUGUAUGAAUGAUCAUAAUAGAUUCCCACCUACUACAUUACAUUCCUUGGCAAUUUAAACCAAUUGAAAUAAACAAGUUUCAGGUUGAGAGAUUUAUGGACCAAUUACAAACAAGCCAAAACAAACUCAACCGGAACAGGUUUGGUCAGAUUAGGCUCCCCAACACAACCCAUGUAUUCUUACUUAAUGACUUGGUUAUAAAUUCCUCUAAAAUUGUUCAUUUAUGUGUUUUUAUAUUACCUCUUAUUCUCAACACUAUUCUAGUAUUACAAGAAUAAUGUUAUUGUACUUAUAUAAUAUUUUACAAGGAAUAGGAAUUUCUUUUAUAAACAGUGGAAAAUAGAACAAAAAGGGCUCUGACAUGAGAUGUCCUUCAAGUCCAAAAAAAAAAAAAAACAUGGGCACAAGGGAAAUAAGAAAAAGAAUAACCAAAUAAACCAAAGACUCCUAAAGAGAAAAACAAAGAAAGCAAAAAAAGGGAUGCAAAGAACAUAUCAAGGGGAAUGCAAUCCCCACUAAAGUCCCUAGAAAGUGGCACACCCCUCUUUGUCCCAAUGUCAACCUCCAGUUUCUCUCUCAAGUCAUUCAACUAGUUUACAAGGUUUCUUGAUAACAUCUACAUGGUCCUUCAGCAAAUAAACAUAUGCCUCUCAAAGAACCCUACCUAACCCAAAAAAGAACAAAAGAGCUCCCUCCACAGCUCCAUCAUAUAACCAGGGAAAUUUCACUUACCUUAGGCAUUCCAACAAAAAUCUAAUCUCAAUUCUAGAUCUACCUAUCUAGAAGCGAUUAUAGAUUGGUCAAGUUGGCAUUUGAGGCACUAUUUGAACCACCUAAACAAGAUCAAUUGCUAGCUCCCUAAAUUUUUUUUUUGAUUGGAAACGACACAUAGAUUUAUUGAUAGAUAAAAAUAAGUACAAAAAGAAGGAUGAGGAAUCCUCCCGCCAAAGAAAGCUAAACUACAGUAAAUUACAAAAGUCAGGAAAAAAAAAAGGAAAAGGAAAAAGAUAAUGAAAAUCUUAAAAAUUGAAAAAUGCGAUAAUUUUUCUAACCAUGUCCUCACUUCCAUGCAUUUGUUUCUUACUAUCUCAGAUUUAAGAGCUUGAUCUUUAUCCUCUUCAAGUUUAUUCUCAAAAAAAUGUUUUUUUCUUCACUGGCAAUAAGCACUGCAUCCAUAAUUUGCCUACCCUGCACAACAUGUUUUGAGCCUUAGAAAUCACCUUAGCCAAAAACUUAUACCACCCCCCCCCCCCCCCUCCUUUUCUUCGAGAUCAACACUUGGAAGGUUGCAUUCAAGUUCCACACAAAACAACCAGAUUCAUGGAAUUCCCUAAAAAAAAAAAUCAUCACCUCAAUCUUCAUGAAUUCUCACGAGAACUGCCAAAAAGCCAUGGAGAACCCAUCUUGGCCUAGAGCUUUAUCCCUGCUAAAACCUGACAACGCCUCAAACACCUCCUCCUCCAUAAAAGGCUUUUCCAGCCCUAUCACCUCAAAGUCUUCCAGCCUCUCAAAAGAUAGCUCACUUAAGUUAGGCCUCUCGUCACUGUUGGUGGAGAGCAGAAGCUGGAAAGCUCUCCUCACUUCCUCUUUAAUUUCUAUGUCCUUAGUGAUCCACACCCCAUUAAUCUUGAGUCUAGCCUCCUUCCAUGAGCAUUGGCCAUUCUAUGAAAGAAGCUCGUGUUUUUAUCCCCCUCCUUCAACCAAAUUUCCCUUGAUUUCUAUCUCCAAGACGUUUCUUUAAGAAGAACCCACUUUUUUUAAUUCUCUCUAGCUUCCUUCCUAGAUUCCCCCUUUUCCAAAGACAAAGGGCAAGCACUCUCCUUAUCCCAAAAAUCCACUUGAUUCAAAGCUAGCUCCUUCUGCACCUCAUACUUGCCAAAAACUUCCUAAUUUGAACUUCUCAGAAGAGGUUUCAAAGCUUUCAGCUUUUCGGCCAAGAUAAAACUAGCAGACCCACUAAAAUUAAGCCCCUCCCACCAUGUCUUCAAAACAUUCUUAAAGCCCUUCUCCUUCAACCACAUGUUUUCAAAUCUAAAUGUUGUGGGGACUCUCCUCAUCCCUCCUCCAUCAAGAAGAAUCAAGAAGUGGUUUAACAGCGGCCUAGCAAGAACAGUUUGAACAACCCUCGUAAAAUGAUCUUCCCAUUCUUCAUAAAUGAGGAAACGAUCAAUUCUCGAUUUAAAUCGGUUAUUUAAGCCACCGCUCCAAGUGAAAAGGCCUCCCUAAAGGGGAAGGUCCCUCAAUUCUAAAUCCUCAAUCACCUCUGAAAAUCCCAUCAUGGCUAGGGACAAUUUACCUCCUCUACUACGCUCCGAAGGGAAUUUGGUCAUGUUGAAAUCGUCUACUGCACACCAAGGGUCACUCCACAGUUCUCUAACUACCCCUAGCUCACUCUAAAAACCUUCUCUAUCCAACUUCAACGUGGGUCCAUAAACCCAUGUAAAGCUCCAACAGAAUCUAUUCUCACAGUUCUUCAAACAAUAAGAAACUGAGAAAUUCCCCACCUCCAUCUCCAACAGUUGUAACAUUGUCCUAAAACACCACAACCAAACCACUCUCCCCGCCCCCCCGAGUUCAUAGCCCCCCAUUCUAAACAUCUUCCCACCCCAAGACUUCACACAAUCCCAAUGGUCAUUUCCUAAAUUUUGGUUUCCAACAAACAAACUAAAUCCAUCUUCUGAGAUUUAAUAAAAGCCUUUAUCAUCUUUCUCUUAUCUCCAUCAUUUACCCCUCUAACAUUCCACGACAGGAUUCGAAGUUUCAUCUAACAAAAGCUAGUUCCCCCAUGAGCCCCUCAUGUCUUACAAUAAUCACCAAACACACCAAUUUCUUCAGCUCCAAGUCAGAUCUUUAGGGUUUCUACCCUUUCCUCUUUUUCCUGGUCAUCUUCUCAAAAUGUUCUCUUCUCUCAUUCAUUCUCUUAAGAGGCUUCAAAAUUUCCCCCUCAAAACCCUCAGUUGGCAUUCUCAAACAGUGGCAAAACUGCACUAAACAACUGUCCUUCCAAGACUCCACUACCCCUCCCUCUUCCUCCACUAACCCAUCAUUCACCUCCUUCAUCAGGCAAGAUCCACCAACUCCCUAUCCAUUCCCCACUUCUUCCACCAAAAGCACCCUCAACAGAUCUAUUGUCAACAAGGAGAUCUGCUUUCGCUUUACCUAUUUGUGAUAGCGAUGGAAGCCCUUAAUUGUCUUUUAAAGAGAGCAAUCUAUGGAGGCUUUUUAUCAACUUGUCAGGUGCAUGGUAGAAGGGGUCAAGGUCUUCCACUUGUUGUUUGCUGAUGAUACACUGAUAGGUUUUUAUGGUAGUUGUUGAUGUGGUUUGAGGCAAUCUCUAAGCUGAGAGUUAAUAUGGAUAAAAGUGAGUCAAUCCCAAUGGGAAGGGUGGAGAAUGUGGAAGAUUUGGUUGCAGAACUUGGUUGUAAGGUGGGAAGUCUUUUGUCCACUUUUUUGGGGAUGUCAUUGGGUGCUCCUUUUAAUCCGUGGCAGCUUGAGAUGGAAUUAAGAGAUUGGCUAUGUGGAAGCGAUAAUAUAUCUCUAAGGGUGGAGAAUCACCUUGAUAUGAAGCGCUUUGUUCAGUUUGCCAAUUUAUUUUAUGUCUAUUCUCCAUUUGCUAGGAGUGAUUGGAAUAGAUUCAAAGGGAUUUUUUGUCGGAAGGUGAGGCUCUAGAGAGAAAACCUCAUUUAGUAAUGUGGAUGACAGUUUGUCUAGAUAAAAGAAAAAAGGGGCUAAGGGUGAAGAGCCUUGCUACGCUCAAUAUGGUUCUCUUUGGCAACUGGAGUUGGCGCUUUGCAAAUGAAAAAGAGGCAUUUUGGAAUCAAGUAAUGACGGGGAAAUAUGGAGAGGAACAUGGUGGGCGGUGUUCUCGGGAAGUUAGGGUGGGGUAUGAUGUAGGCCUGUGAAAAGCAAUUAGGAAGGUUGGGCACCUUGUUAGCUCUAGAAUUUCUUUUGUGGUGGGAAAUGGGCAGAGGGUGAGCUUUCAGAAGGAUAAGUGGUGUGGAACUACACCUUUGUGUGAAUCUUUUCCCUCCUUAUUUGCCCUAGCUACUUCCAAAGAGGCUUGGGUGAAAGAUGUUUGGACUAUUUCAAUGAGGAAAGGGGGGAGGAGGGAGUUUGAGCCCUUGUUUCUCUAGGCCUUUCAAUGAUUGGAAGAUGAAUGAGAUGGAAAACUUGUUGUGUUUGAGUGGGAAGAGAGUGAUUAUGGAUGAGGAUAGGGUGAGGUGGGUGGAAUUGAAGUAUGGCAACUUUUUGGUAAAGUCUCUUUAUAAAGCCUUAGAUCCGGACUCAUGUUUCCUAAUGAAGAUAAUAUGGAACUCUAGUGUGCAACCAAAAGUAAGCUUCUUUGCUUGGGAAGCGUCAUGAGGAAAAGUUCAAACUUUGAACCAAGUUCAGAAGAGAGGUUGGGCUUUAGCAAAUAGAUGUUAUUUGUGCCAAGCAAAUGAGGAGUCCAUUGACCAUCUUCUUUUCCAUUGCAAAAAGACAAGGGAUGUGUGGAGGCUGUUUUUUACUUUGUUUGGAGUGUAUUGAGUGUUUCCUUCCUCAGUAAGGGAAACCCUCUUAGGGUGGAAAGGGUCUUUUGUGGGUAAGAAGAGUAGGGCAGUUUGGAAUAUGGACCCUUUAUGCUUGUUUUGGUCAGUUUUGAAAGCAAAGAACAGAAUUGUCUUUGAAGGCAGUGUGUUGUCCAUGCAAAAGCUGAAAGCUUUUUUUGUUUAUUUAUUUUGGUCAAAGUCUAAAUUGUUUAUAAAAGAUGGUCCUUCAACACUAAUAAAUUUCAUUGAUUGGGUGGGUUGUUUUUUGUACAUCUUGUUGGACAUUUUUUUUGUUUCAGCUAUAAGGGGGUGAGUGUCUGUUUCUUGUACAUCUUAAGCCGCUAAUUUAGCGCUUUUUUGUAAUACAAUACUCUUACUUAUCAAAAAAAAUAUAUGUUUUUUUCUUAGCCUUGUCCAUUUUAUCAAAUCCAUUCCCAUUCCUUCCUACCAAUUUUUUAUGGAAAUCAAAAGCCCCUUUAAAGGUCAAGGCCUUUGCUUGGUUAGUGGUGCACAAGAAGGCAAACACAAAUGACAUGCCACGGUUGAAAAGAUCCUACAACUCUCUCAGUCUUCAUUGGUGCAUCUUAUAGAUAGGAAGUGGAGAAUCGAUCGACCAUUUUUUUCUACAUUGUCCUUUAACAUUGGGGCUUUGGCACAAGCUCUUCAGUCUAAGACCUCUCAUCCUUCUCUUAUACAUUUUUUUUUUUUUGAUAGAUAAACAUCAGAAUAUAUUAGAAAAGGCUAAAAAGCCGCAUGUAUACAGGGGGUAUACACAAAAGCCCAAGAAAGAGAGCUGAAAAAAGAGAGGGGAAGAACCUCACCCACCCUCAAGUGGCCGCAAGCCACUCCAAAAAGCCUAAGAGAGAAUAGGUAUCCUCACCAAUGUACACCCUAGCCCAACUCCACAAAUUACAUACAAAAAAAUUCUUGAAUUUUUGAAUAUCUAAAGACCCCCCCCCCCUAAAAGCUAACCUAUUCCUUUCCUUCCAAACCGUCCAAAAUAUGCACAAUGGAAUGGAAUUCCAAGUAUUUUUUCUUUUUUUCCCCACAAAAGAGCCCCUCCAGCUAAGUAACACUUCUAUAACUGAUUCUGGGAACACCCAUUGGACUCCAAAAAUGACGAGGACAAUCUCCCAAAGAGUCUUAACCACUGUACAAUGUUACAGAAUAUGAUUCACAUUUUCCUCUUCACAGCCACACAAAAAACACCAGUUAGGGAGCUGUCACCCCCUUCUUUGAAGCUUAUCCAAGGUGAGGAUCUUCCCCCACGAAGCUUCCCAAGCAAAAAAAGACACUUUUGUUGGAACCUUAUCCAUCCAAAUGCGUCUGUUCGGGAAAGCACAGGCUGAGGACCCAAACAGCAUUUUGUAAGCACCCUUAGCCCCAAAAACACCAUUGCCUUCCCUUUUCCAUCUCACAGCAUCCUCCUCAGUCGAAGUCUUGAAAUCCCUCAGCAAAUUCAGCAUAUUUCCUAUCUGGUCCAGCUCCCAAUCAUUGAAAUCUCUAGCCAAUCUGAGAUUCCAACCUCCUUGACCCAGGCUAGAGUCCCACACUUCACUUACUUUGGCAUUCCUAUGACCCGCCAAGGUAAACAGCUGUGGGAAAAUUUGAGAAAGCGCCUCAUUGCCACACCACUUAUCUGUCCAGAACAAAACUCUGGUCCCCUUCCCUACCUUAAAAUCAAUGCUCUCCCAGCACCAAUCAGCUUCCUUCAUGAUCUCCUUCCACAAUCCCAUUCCAUAAGGCCCACAAACUUCCUUAGUCCUCCACCCACACCCCUCUUGACCAUACUUCACCCCUAUCACCAUUUUCCAAAGGUUCUCUUUCUCAUAGGCAUAUCUCCACACCCAUUUGCCCAGCAAGGCUUUGUUCAAUAAAUCUAUCUUUCGGAUGCCUAAUCCUCCCUCCUCCUUAAGGCUACAGACCACCUUCCACUUAAUUAAGUGAGCUUUCCUCUCCAAACUUCCUCCCCCCCAAAGGAAAUCUCUUUGGAUUUUCUCAAUCCUUUUUGUAACAGACUUAGGGAUGCGGAUAAGGGAUAGAAAGUAGAUGGGUAUGCUGGCCAAAGUACUCUUGAUAAGAGUAAUUCUACCCCCUUUCGAGAUGUAUUCUUUUCCACUGGGCUAGUCUUCUUCUCAUUCUCUCUUCCACCCCAUCCCAGGAAGAAGAGGUUUUAUGGUGGGCUCCAAGGGGCAGCCCCAAAUAAACAGUGGGUAAAACUCCCAAUUUGCAUCCUAGUUCAGCCGCCAGCUCCUCCAAUUCAUCCACUUGCCCAACAGGAAUUAGGGCACUCUUAGCAAGAUUAAUUCUGAGGCCCGAAGCCGCCUCAAACCACGCCAAGAUCCAGCUUAGAUUGGUUACUUGCUCUCUUUUCGCUUUGCAGAAAAUGAUUGUGUCGUCAACAAAAAGGAGAUGAGAGACAAUCAGCUCCACACCCCCUCUCCCCCGAAGCCUACAGCCGGAAAGAAAGCCCCCCUCACCAGCCCGUCUAAGAAGGGUGCUAAGAACUUCCAUACCCAAGUGUUUUAUAUCAAAAAAUAAACAAAAAUAAUAAUAAUAAUUUUUCCAACCAACUACCCAAGCCAAAAAACCAAGCUAGUCAAAAAUGCUAAAAUACAAAUACUAACAUCCAUAUUCAACCAUCUUAACCAACCUCAGAAGCUCUCCAACUGCAAGCAGAGAGCCAUGUAUACUGUGUACUGGAGCAUUUCUACCCAAUCCAUCUUGUGUAGCCUCAAACAUACGAUAAUACCUGUCAAGAACACAAUACAUAGAACUCAUUGUCCAAAUCAAAUAAAAUACAAGGAACAAAAUAUGCAAGCUCAAUAAAGCAUUCAAUGAGUCUGAAACAAAAAACUACAAUCUGAAAGUCAUCAUCAUCAAAAACAGUUUAAAGUUCAACGAUCAAAAUCAGGUCACAGUUUCUGCAGAAACUAAUUUAUUUUGAACAAGAUUGAAACGACAUAAAAAUAAAAAGCCAUGAGAAGAAGAUUACUGAAGAAUACAUCCAUUAGUUUUUGGAUUGAGGGACACCAAAUGCAGCUACUCCAAAAUGAUAAAGGUUUCAGCUAACUAAUAAAAGUUGGCAAGCAUGUAACCCAAGUUCGCAUGUCUGUUGACUUUUAAAUGGCAUGAAAGAUAGAUAUAUGUCUAGAGCCUCUAAAGUCAGAACACUGUCCAGAUUACAGCCAUAGAUGUGAAAUUCAAACAACAGCCUAAUAUAAGAACAGCCAAUGGUAGCAUUGAAAUGGUUACUUUUUUUCAAAAAAAACAAAGCACUGAAAUCAAGCACAAUGAUUUUUCCCAAAUUAGCCUUAAACACAAACUUCUCUUUUAUGGAUCUCUACAACUUUCAUAUUAUCUUUCUAAUUGUAGAAUGUAUUUCUCUUUGCAGCCUUCUCGCGCUUUACGCCACACAUCAAUGUUGAAUAUAUCUUCACAGAGAAUGAAACCAGACGAUGCAGUGCAACUAUAAUUAUAUACCUAUCCAGAACCAUGGAAUUCUGUACAGCUUGAGAUGCUAUUAAGUUUUUAGCCUACACAAGUCAAACAUUACCUGAGAACCUCAUUUUCACAACUCCUGCUCUCAAUUAUGAUCUUCUAGACUUCUUCAUCAUACGUAAUACAAGAGAUGCUAUACAUUAUCCAAUCUCCUUAAUUGAUGCUUCUAAAACCAUAUGCUCAUUCUCAUCAUGGUGUUUGCCAUAUGGAAUAAGUAAAAGAUGAUAGCCAACACAGAGCCUUUGUCACACCCUCUCUAUAUAGGGAACAGAAAAUAUUAUCGAAAGAAGAGCAAAGAAACAGAGGGAAGGAUAAGAAUGAGAGGCUCCCCCAAGGAGGGUAAGGCCUGCUGCAAACUCAACCAUGGAAAGGCUCCCCCAUUGGCAAGAUCAUCAACUACUUGAGCAUAGGUCUCCAACCAAAUGAUAGAACCCAUUGGAUGUAGAUAGCUCAUGAAAUCCCAGAGAGCAUCUAUGAUCCUCCAUUUGUCCUCAAAAUCCCAUAAUUCCUUCCAAUUAAUAUCACCCAAGGAAUGCCAUGAAUUGCAUCUUCCAACAGCACACUUUUAUUACCCCUUCUUGUCACUAACUCUAGCCCUUCAACACAUAGGCUGACUUUGAAAACACCUUUUCACAAACCACAUAAUUGGGCCACAAGUCUAUCUAGGAUAUGUCAUAGUUAGACCUCUAUGUUACAUGGGUUUGGGUAUGGGUGUUGAGUGCAGGUACAUGUCUAGGUGUCAUAUCUUCUGCAUCACAAAAUCUUAGGAUAAGGAGAUUCGACUAAGAAGGAUCUCAACUAUGAGUCCGGGCACUUUUUUUUUUUUGAUAGAUAAACAACCAAAUAUAUUAGAAAAGGCUAAGAAGCCGCAUGUAUACAGGGGGUAUACUGAACAGCCCAAAACAAGGCUGAGAAAAAAAACAAAAAAGGGGAGAAGCCUCACCCACCCUCAAGUGGUCCCAAGCCACUCCAAAAAGCCUAAAAGAGAGUAGGUUUCCUCACCAAUGUACACCCUAGCCCAACUCCAUAAGUUACAUACAAAAAAAUUUUUGAAUUUCUGAAUAUCUAAAGACCCUCCCCUGAGAGUUAACCUAUUCCUUUCCUUCCAAACCGUCCAAAAUAUGCACAACGGGAUGGAAUUCCAUAUCUUUUUUCUUUUUUUCCCCACAAAAGAACCCCUCCAGCUAAGUAACACCUCUAUAACUGACUCUGGGAACACCCAUUGAACUCCGAAAAUGGCAAGGGUAAUCUCCCAAAUAGUUUUAACCACUGUACAAUGUAGGAGAAUAUGGUUCGCAUUUUCCUCUCCGCAGCCGCAUAAAUAGCACCGAUU